GAUGUGUAAGAGCCGACACGUGU
Molecule: non-coding RNA, 23 nt
Filed under: Arabidopsis thaliana (thale cress)
Lineage: Eukaryota; Viridiplantae; Streptophyta; Magnoliopsida; Brassicales; Brassicaceae
Source: RNAcentral